AGCGAACGCUGGCGGCGUGGAUUAGGCAUGCAUGUCGAGCGAGAACGGGGGCGAACUCCAACGUAAAGACGGCACACGGGUCGAGUAAUGCGUGGAUAACUUGCCCUCGGGACGUGGGAGUAACGGCGGGAAACUGCCGCUAAUACCGGAUGGCUUCGCGGACCGGCAUCGGGCUGCGAGUAAAUGGUGGGGGACCGAA
RNAcentral lists this ribosomal RNA (199 nucleotides) under uncultured bacterium. Its description in RNAcentral is "partial 16S ribosomal RNA". It matches the Rfam family "Bacterial small subunit ribosomal RNA", at positions 29 to 210 of the family's 1533-position model. The record is from RNAcentral.